RNAcentral lists this long non-coding RNA (660 nucleotides) under Mustela putorius furo (domestic ferret). RNAcentral describes it as "lncRNA (ENSMPUG00000029333.1)". The record is from RNAcentral. Lineage: Eukaryota; Metazoa; Chordata; Mammalia; Carnivora; Mustelidae.
UAACCCACGGAGCCACCCAGGUGCCCCGAAAGUUACCUGUUCUGAUCACACUCUUCUUCUUUCUCUUUCUUGUAGCUGUGCAGUCCCUGCACACCCUAAAUGACCAGAUAUCCCAUUUUAUCGUCACCAAGUCGAAGGCCCUGGAGGAAGACAAGGACCCCUUCCUACCCGCUGAGAAGGAGACUCUGAAGAGUUCCAUGAUACUGAUGAGGCAUCUCCUAAUGGACGCACAGCUGGAACCGUCUCUUCCUGUUGGGAAGUCCUCCACCCUGCUGCCCUGUCCCAGGGCUUUCUCCUGCCCACACAGCGGCCUCUCUCCUUCCUCCCCUCCAGACUGCUGGGGGAGAGCUCCUCAGCAUACAAAGGAGGAUUCAGACUUCCUUAUCAGUGCGCUUUCUCUCAUUUCCCGGAGUCCUCCCUGACCAGACAUUCGUGCUGCAGAUGUGUGAGUUCCUACAGCCCUUAUCAAUCACCAAACACUCAACAAAUAUUUAAUGAGUGGUUUCUAUGAGCAAGGGGACUGGAGAAGCACGUAUUUUUGGUUUAGGCUAUUUGGUUUUUGGAGUUUAUUAAAUGUCUUAACUGGAAAGUCACCCAGAAAAAAAUUCUCUACCUAAAAGACACAAAAUCUCUUCUCCUAUCUGAUCUGCCUUUAUGCAU